This is a long non-coding RNA of Topomyia yanbarensis, 2028 nucleotides long. RefSeq lists it as uncharacterized. Lineage: Eukaryota; Metazoa; Arthropoda; Insecta; Diptera; Culicidae. The transcript is spliced from 3 exons. The record is from RefSeq and is a predicted model, not a curated record.
UUAAGUAUAAUGGAAGUUAUUAACGUUCAAAAUCUGACGCGGCGGUUACAGCCGAGAUUUUGAAAUGGGACCCCUAUAUUGAAAUGUAUUCUACAUUAAAAGGUGCAGGGAGAGUGGUCGCAGGAGAAGAGUUUCGAACUGAAAUGACUGAAGUAUUGUCGAGUUGGUGUGUCCAGAUGAAUUACUGAAACACAUUUGCUCAAUCUCUGAUGUCCAAUAGAAAAAAAAAAACAAUAAAAUGUUUUUAAAUAAUUUGAACGUACAAAUUAAAUAAAACAAAAAAUCCUACGGUGUUAUUUCACUAUGAAAUCUACCUAUCAUUGAUACACUGGCAGUGUUGUCAAAAAACCUGAGAUUUUGUAUUCAAUUCGAAUCAUCGGACUUCGAAGAGCUAUAGAAUUUUUCAGGAACAUUUUAGCACCAUACUUCAGGUUUUAUUCUUCAGGUAAAUCUCUAGAAAUGAAAAUGUAAAAAAGGCUGUUGUCCCAUACAAAUUCCCAUACAAAUUUCAAACGCAAAGCGCUACGCCGGAUCCUAACCUAUCAACCCCGAAAUUUUCCAUAGUUUUUGGGACCCUAAAUGGAAAGAUUUCUGCCAACUUGAUGCGGGCAAGUUUACAUUUUUCCAUACAACUGUGCUCCACCGUUACAGAGAUUGUGUUCCAAGCAAUCAAUAAAACAGUAUGCCAAUCCGAUUAUUGAGAUGAAUAAGGGAUCUUCUAUCAUACCACCACUUGCUUUGCUGAAACAAAAAAUGGUAACAUUUUCUGCUAUCUUUUCCCGUUUCCUUUAUUCGAAACAGCUCGCUGCUUCUGGCGAAGCUCAUCUCGAAAGUGAGUAGCUAAUUGCUUAUUUUUUCAUUGUUCGUUAACGAAUAGUAGAUGGUACAUAAAAACUAAAUCUCUUUCUAUUAAUUGGCGAAGUUUCUUUUAUAACUAUACAAUCUGGUGAAUUUCCUCGAGACGGUUGUCUGUUAAUCAAAAAAAAUCAUCUGCAGCGUUGGCUAGUCUCUACCACAAAUUUUCCAUAAAUGGAUCAUGGUCGACCGAUUGUAAACGUCACACUAAAACUACCAUUUUAGACAUUUAUACCAGUGGUUGAAAAUUGACUACUUUCGACAGAUUCAACCGUCCGUUUUGUGUAGGCAAAUUACAAACUUCUCGAUUCCAUGACAGAACACAUCAAAUAACAGGGUUUAUGGUACCCAAAAAACAGUUUCAACAUUCAAUUUCCAUCUCCCUAUAGAUGGAACGCAACGUUUGGAAAGUACUGUAUGUCAACCCUAAUAAAAACGAUCAAAAUAUUUGCAUCAGAGCAAGCGAACGGGGGGUGAAUUUCAGAGCGUACCGCAGUUUGCUUCAAGACUUUUUCCACUGGGCGGAUCCAAGGAUGCUUUGAAUUAAUUACAGUUCAAUUCGUAUGUAAAUUUUUUGACAUUUCUAUCCUCCGUCUAAUUUAUUAUUUACAUUGUUCUAGGUAAUAUAUUACCGCAUUAUCCACGAACUUGGGUUCACGGAAUUUCAUCCCGUAAUACGUAUCAAGAUUCAAGUAGGUUUAGAACACAAAACAAAGAGUUUUUAAAGCAUCUAAAUGGGAAACAGUUUUCGUUGACUUUAGAAAGGACGACUACUUGGUGAAGGGGAGGAAAAGAAAGGUGUUUCCGCUGCAUUCAAUUUACGUUCCACGAAGAAGAUUUACGCAUCCGAGAAACUGUGUUUGAAGGAGGUUUUUAAACACGGAUGUGUCAACUGAUAAUCUUCACUUUCAAUAAAUUAAUUUUCCGUUAUUUUUUUUAGAUUAAAGCUGUCGGAUUAAAUGAUUUAAUUCAUUAUUCACUUAACAGAUGUUUUAAGCAUACGAUUAACUAACUUACUUGUGCCGGAUGGGUCCAUCAAAAACUUGUUCAUCAGCUAUAAAAGCUUUUUUAUUGGCUCGCCACGUGGCGGCAAUAGUGUUGUUUUUAUUAUCAGCUGUGCUGCUAGCCAGCACGUUAAUUCACAAAGUAGGCCUGCUCGUAGUGUAGAAGCGA